AGAGUUUGAUCCUGGCUCAGGAUAAACGCUGGCGGCGCACAUAAGACAUGCAAGUCGAACGAACUUAACCAUUAGUUUACUAUUGGAGCGGUUAGUGGCGGACUGGUGAGUAACACGUAAGCAACCUGCCUAUCAGAGGGGAACAACAGUUAGAAAUGACUGCUAAUACCGCAUAUGCCUUAGAAUCACAUGGUUCAAAAGGGAAGGAGCAAUCCGCUGAUAGAUGGGCUUGCGUCUGAUUAGCUAGUUGGUGGGGUAACGGCCUACAAGGCGACGAUCAGUAGCCGAACUGAGAGGUUGAACGGCCACAUUGGGACUGAGAUACGGCCCAGACUCCUACAGGAGGCA
Molecule: ribosomal RNA, 348 nt
Filed under: uncultured bacterium
Lineage: Bacteria
Description: bacterial SSU rRNA
Rfam family: Bacterial small subunit ribosomal RNA
Source: RNAcentral